RNAcentral lists this ribosomal RNA (255 nucleotides) under uncultured bacterium. Its description in RNAcentral is "partial 16S ribosomal RNA". It matches the Rfam family "Bacterial small subunit ribosomal RNA", at positions 524 to 780 of the family's 1533-position model. The record is from RNAcentral.
UACGUAGGGUGCAAGCGUUAAUCGGAAUUACUGGGCGUAAAGCGUGCGCAGGCGGUGAUGUAAGACAGGUGUGAAAUCCCCGGGCUUAACCUGGGAACUGCAUUUGUGACUGCAUCGCUGGAGUGCGGCAGAGGGGGAUGGAAUUCCGCGUGUAGCAGUGAAAUGCGUAGAUAUGCGGAGGAACACCGAUGGCGAAGGCAAUCCCCUGGGCCUGCACUGACGCUCAUGCACGAAAGCGUGGGAGCAACAGGAUGA